ACGAACGCUGGCGGCGUGCUUAACACCUGCAAGUCGAACGGAAAGGCCCUGCUUUUGUGGGGUGCUCGAGUGGCGAACGGGUGAGUAACACGUGAGUAACCUGCCCUUGACUUUGGGAUAACUUCAGGAAACUGGGGCUAAUACCGGAUAGGAGCUCCUGCUGCAUGGUGGGGGUUGGAAAGUUUCGGCGGUUGGGGAUGGACUCGCGGCUUAUCAGCUUGUUGGUGGGGUAGUGGCUUACCAAGACUUUGACGGGUAGCCGGCCUGAGAGGGUGACCGGCCACAUUGGGACUGAGAUACGGCCCAGACUCCUACGGGAGGCAGCAGUGGGGAAUAUUGCACAAUGAGCGGAAGCCUGAUGCAGCAACGCCGCGUGCGGGAUGACGGCCUUCGGGUUGUAAACCGCUUUCGCCUGUGACGAAGCGUGAGUGACGGUAAUGGGUAAAGAAGCACCGGCUAACUACGUG
This 467-nucleotide ribosomal RNA is filed under the name uncultured bacterium. Its description in RNAcentral is "partial 16S ribosomal RNA". It matches the Rfam family "Bacterial small subunit ribosomal RNA", at positions 29 to 507 of the family's 1533-position model. The record is from RNAcentral.